GACGAACGCUGGCGGCGUGCUUAACACAUGCAAGUCGAACGAAGAGCGAUGGAAGCUUGCUUCUCUCAAUCUUAGUGGCGAACGGGUGAGUAACGCGUAAUCAACCUGCCCUUCAGAGGGGGACAACAGUUGGAAACGACUGCUAAUACCGCAUACGAUCUAAUCUCGGCAUCGAGGAUAGAUGAAAGGUGGCCUCUACAUGUAAGCUAUCACUGAAGGCGGGGAUUGCGUCUGAUUAGCUAGUUGGAGGGGUAACGGCCCACCAAGGCGAUGAUCAGUAGCCGGUCUGAGAGGAUGAACGGCCACAUUGGGACUGAGACACGGCCCAGACUCCUACGGGAGGCAGCAGUGGGGAAUCUUCCGCAAUGGACGAAAGUCUGACGGAGCAACGCCGCGUGAGUGAUGACGGCCUUCGGGUUGUAAAGCUCUGUUAAUCGGGACGAAAGGCCUUCUUGCGAAUAGUGAGAAGGAUUGACGGUACCGGAAUAGAAAGCCACGGCUAACUACGUG
RNAcentral lists this ribosomal RNA (510 nucleotides) under uncultured bacterium. Its description in RNAcentral is "partial 16S ribosomal RNA". It matches the Rfam family "Bacterial small subunit ribosomal RNA", at positions 28 to 507 of the family's 1533-position model. The record is from RNAcentral.